Molecule: ribosomal RNA, 464 nt
Filed under: uncultured bacterium
Lineage: Bacteria
Description: bacterial SSU rRNA
Rfam family: Bacterial small subunit ribosomal RNA
Source: RNAcentral
CCCUACGGGAGGCAGCAGUCGAGAAUUUUUGACAAUGGGGGAAACCCUGAUCGAGCGACGCCGCGUGGAGGAUGAAGGUCUUCGGAUUGUAAACUCCUGUCAUUGGGGAACAAGGUGCAGACGUUAACUGCGUGUGCAUUGAUAGUACCCGAAGAGGAAGAGACGGCUAACUCUGUGCCAGCAGCCGCGGUAAUACAGAGGUCUCAAGCGUUGUUCGGAUUCAUUGGGCGUAAAGGGUGCGUAGGCGGCGCGGUAAGUCGGGUGUGAAAUCUCGGGGCUUAACUCCGAAACUGCAUUCGAUACUGCCGUGCUUGAGGACUGGAGAGGAGACUGGAAUUUACGGUGUAGCGGUGAAAUGCGUAGAUAUCGUAAGGAAGACCAGUGGCGAAGGCGGGUCUCUGGACAGUUCCUGACGCUGAGGCACGAAGGUCAGGGGAGCAAACGGGAUUAGAUACCCUGGUAGC